UAACAUUUGGAAUGAGGGUGUGAGCAACUGCAAAUUCCCAUCUCCCUUCUCAUUCCAGCCUCAUUGUAACACACAUUCUACGCCUAGCCUGGCUUUCUUGCUCUCCCUCAUCUCAUUGUUUCAGCGGAGGCCAAAUCUGAAGUCCUUUCCAGGGAGUGGCUCUGUUCAUCUUAUUCGCCAGCCAAAGUAGGAACAGCGUAAGAGGAGAGAGACACAUUCAGCAGCCAAAGGACUCGGUGGAAAGAGCAGAACACCAUAGACAAUAUGUCGCUCUUGGGACCCAAGGUGCUGCUGUUUCUUGCUGCAUUCAUCAUCACCUCUGACUGGAUACCCCUGGGGGUCAAUAGUCAACGAGGAGACGAUGUGACUCAAGCGACUCCAGAAACAUUCACAGAAGAUCCUAAUCUGGUGAAUGAUCCCGCUACAGAUGAAACAGUUUUGGCUGUUUUGGCUGAUAUUGCACCUUCCACAGAUGACUUGGGUCCUAAGUGAGGCAGUGUGGCAGUUACAGAAGUAGUAACUUCUA
This 526-nucleotide long non-coding RNA is filed under the name Homo sapiens (human). RNAcentral's name for it is "non-protein coding lnc-MFAP5-3:2". The record is from RNAcentral. Lineage: Eukaryota; Metazoa; Chordata; Mammalia; Primates; Hominidae.